UUUCACACAGUUAUCGUAUUUUUAUUUAUUUAUUACAAUAAUAUACAAUUUUCAUUUAACAUAUUACGUCAAAUGUAUAUUUGUACAUUACAAGUAUACUUAAUUUUACAUUAAUAGUGUGAUCAAAAUAAAACCAAGCUUACGGGUCAGAGUUAACUUUUAUAAUUGACGUAUUAAAAUCCACCACAUUUUUUUAUAGGAAACAAUCGCUCUUUUCUUCAAAUAGUACCCGAAAGUG
RNAcentral lists this unclassified non-coding RNA (238 nucleotides) under Melitaea cinxia (Glanville fritillary). Its description in RNAcentral is "misc RNA ENSMCXG00005005837.1". Lineage: Eukaryota; Metazoa; Arthropoda; Insecta; Lepidoptera; Nymphalidae. The record is from RNAcentral.